Molecule: ribosomal RNA, 301 nt
Filed under: uncultured bacterium
Lineage: Bacteria
Description: partial 16S ribosomal RNA
Rfam family: Bacterial small subunit ribosomal RNA
Source: RNAcentral
CAGUCGCCACGGUAAUACAGAGGUCUCAAGCGUUGUUCGGAUUCAUUGGGCGUAAAGGGUGCGUAGGUGGCGGUGUAAGUCUAACGUGAAAUCUCGGGGCUCAACCUCGAAAUUGCGUCGGAUACUGCAUUGCUAGAGGAUUGUAGAGGAGAGUGGAAUUCAUGGUGUAGCAGUGAAAUGCGUAGAGAUCUGGAGGAAUACCGGUGGCGAAGGCGGCCCCCUGGACAAAGACUGACGCUCAGGUGCGAAAGCGUGGGGAGCAAACAGGAUUAGAUACCCGCGUAGUCCCUGUCUCUUAUAC